Molecule: ribosomal RNA, 612 nt
Filed under: uncultured bacterium
Lineage: Bacteria
Description: bacterial SSU rRNA
Rfam family: Bacterial small subunit ribosomal RNA
Source: RNAcentral
ACCAUGAUUAAAGGUAUUCCGGUAGACGAUGGGGAUGCGUUCCAUUAGAUAGUAGGCGGGGGUAACGGCCCACCUAGUCUUCGAUGGAUAGGGGUUCUGAGAGGAAGGUCCCCCACAUUGGAACUGAGACACGGUCCAAACUCCUACGGGAGGCAGCAGUGAGGAAUAUUGGUCAAUGGGCGAGAGCCUGAACCAGCCAAGUAGCGUGAAGGAUGACUGCCCUAUGGGUUGUAAACUUCUUUUAUAAAGGAAUAAAGUCGGGUAUGGAUACCCGUUUGCAUGUACUUUAUGAAUAAGGAUCGGCUAACUCCGUGCCAGCAGCCGCGGUAAUACGGAGGAUCCGAGCGUUAUCCGGAUUUAUUGGGUUUAAAGGGAGCGUAGAUGGAUGUUUAAGUCAGUUGUGAAAGUUUGCGGCUCAACCGUAAAAUUGCAGUUGAUACUGGAUAUCUUGAGUGCAGUUGAGGUAGGCGGAAUUCGUGGUGUAGCGGUGAAAUGCUUAGAUAUCACGAAGAACUCCGAUUGCGAAGGCAGCCUGCUAAGCUGCAACUGACAUUGAGGCUCGAAAGUGUGGGUAUCAAACAGGAUUAGAUACCCUGGUAGUCCACACGGUAG